This 860-nucleotide long non-coding RNA is filed under the name Triticum aestivum (bread wheat). Its description in RNAcentral is "long non-coding RNA (TAES_LNC026093)". The record is from RNAcentral. Lineage: Eukaryota; Viridiplantae; Streptophyta; Magnoliopsida; Poales; Poaceae.
CCUUCCCUAACAUCUGCUUCCUUGUUUGGCUCAAAAAAUAUUUUCUUCCUUAUUUGACACUGGAUGUAAAUUUUAUUCCUUAUGUGACACUUCCGUCCAUUUUGACCACCAACGGUGUUAAAUGUGAUGUGAAAACACCAUUUUCCCCCUGGUAUUGUAUUUUGUGAUUUUUGCUAAUUAAAGUAGUACUCUACAAAUGUAAUCUAAUUAGUGUAUGUAACAUAACAGUUAAACUGUUAUGUUACAUACACUAAUUAGAUUACAUUUGUAGAGUACUACUUUAAUUGAACUGAAGGGGACCUUGGCGCAGUGGUAAAGCUGCUGCCUUGUGACCAUGAGGUCACGGGUUUAAGUCCUGGAAACAGCCUCUUGCAGAAAUGUAGGGAAAGGCUGCGUACAAUAGACCCAAAGUGGUCGGACCCUUCCCCAGACCCUGCGCAAGCGGGAGCUACAUGCACUGGGGCUGCCCCCUUUAACAUAACAGUUGAACUGUACGUCCUGUAUUCGGCAUAAAAAACUGUACGUCUUGUACGCACCACUAAUGGUGUACUAAUGCCUGUUGAAAAAAAUGAUAUACUAAUGUACACUGCUAACCAUUCGAUUAGAAUUACUUGUAGAAACUUGCAGCAGCUUCCGAGUACCAUACUUGUCGAUUUCAUAAGUCCAACGAACGCACGACGCGACUUGCAUAACAAACCAAUCAAGAUGGUAUAUUUUAUUUUGUUUACAGUAGGUGAAAUAGAGUGGCAAACAAAUGAGUUGGUAUUUGCUGAUUCUCCAUCUCAGUUACAAAGUGGAACUAGUCUACUUUUGAAGUAGCAACUGUUGGCUUCUGAAACAUAAUAAAGAUCAUCAUUUCU